Molecule: ribosomal RNA, 491 nt
Filed under: uncultured Acholeplasma sp.
Lineage: Bacteria; Bacillati; Mycoplasmatota; Mollicutes; Acholeplasmatales; Acholeplasmataceae
Description: bacterial SSU rRNA
Rfam family: Bacterial small subunit ribosomal RNA
Source: RNAcentral
GCCCGCUCAAGAAACUUAAAGGAAUUGACGGGACCCCGCACAAGCGGUGGAUCAUGUUGUUUAAUUCGAUGAUACGCGAAGAACCUUACCAGGUCUUGACAUCCCCCGCGAUGCUUUAGAGAUAAAGCGGAGGUAUUCGGGGAGACAGGUGGUGCAUGGUUGUCGUCAGCUCGUGUCGUGAGAUGUUGGGUUAAGUCCCGCAACGAGCGCAACCCCUAUUGCUAGUUACCAUCAUUAAGUUGGGGACUCUAGCGAGACUGCCAGUGAUAAACUGGAGGAAGGUGGGGAUGACGUCAAAUCAUCAUGCCCCUUAUGACCUGGGCUACAAACGUGAUACAAUGGCUGGUACAGAGCGCAGCGAAGCCGCGAGGCAAAGCGAAUCGCAAAAAGCCGGUCUCAGUACGGAUUGGAGUCUGAAACCCGACUCCAUGAAGUUGGAAUCGCUAGUAAUCGCGCAUCAGCAUGGCGCGGUGAAUACGUUCCCGGGCCUU